RNAcentral lists this ribosomal RNA (495 nucleotides) under uncultured bacterium. Its description in RNAcentral is "partial 16S ribosomal RNA". It matches the Rfam family "Bacterial small subunit ribosomal RNA", at positions 28 to 507 of the family's 1533-position model. The record is from RNAcentral.
GACGAACGCUGGCGGCGUGCCUAAUACAUGCAAGUAGAACGCUGAAGGAGGAGCUUGCUUCUCUGGAUGAGUUGCGAACGGGUGAGUAACGCGUAGGUAACCUGCCUGGUAGCGGGGGAUAACUAUUGGAAACGAUAGCUAAUACCGCAUAAUAGCAGUUGUUGCAUGACAACUGUUUGAAAGGUGCAAUUGCACCACUACCAGAUGGACCUGCGUUGUAUUAGCUAGUUGGUGGGGUAACGGCUCACCAAGGCGACGAUACAUAGCCGACCUGAGAGGGUGGUCGGCCACACUGGGAAUGAGACACGGCCCAGACUCCUAAGGGAGGCAGCAGGAGGGAAUCUUCGGCAAUGGACGGAAGUCUGACCGAGCAACGCCGCGGGAGUGAAGAAGGGUCUCGGAUCGUAAAGGUCUGUUGUAAGGGAAGAACGAGUGUGAGAGUGGAAAGUUCACACUGUGACGGUAUCUUAACAGAAAGGGACGGCUAACUACGUG